UUAAGCGACUAAGCGUACACGGUGGAUGCCCUGGCAGUCAGAGGCGAUGAAGGACGUGCUAAUCUGCGAUAAGCGUCGGUGAGGUGAUAUGAACCGUUAUAACCGGCGAUUUCCGAAUGGGGAAACCCAGUGUGUUUCGACACACUAUCAUUAACUGAAUCCAUAGGUUAAUGAGGCGAACCGGGGGAACUGAAACAUCUAAGUACCCCGAGGAAAAGAAAUCAACCGAGAUUCCCCCAGUAGCGGCGAGCGAACGGGGAGGAGCCCAGAGCCUGAAUCAGUGUGUGUGUUAGUGGAAGCGUCUGGAAAGGCGCGCGAUACAGGGUGACAGCCCCGUACACAAAAAUGCACAUACUGUGAGCUCGAUGAGUAGGGCGGGACACGUGGUAUCCUGUCUGAAUAUGGGGGGACCAUCCUCCAAGGCUAAAUACUCCUGACUGACCGAUAGUGAACCAGUACCGUGAGGGAAAGGCGAAAAGAACCCCGGCGAGGGGAGUGAAAAAGAACCUGAAACCGUGUACGUACAAGCAGUGGGAGCCUCUUAAUGGGGUGACUGCGUACCUUUUGUAUAAUGGGUCAGCGACUUAUAUUCUGUAGCAAGGUUAACCGAAUAGGGGAGCCGAAGGGAAACCGAGUCUUAACUGGGCGUUAAGUUGCAGGGUAUAGACCCGAAACCCGGUGAUCUAGCCAUGGGCAGGUUGAAGGUUGGGUAACACUAACUGGAGGACCGAACCGACUAAUGUUGAAAAAUUAGCGGAUGACUUGUGGCUGGGGGUGAAAGGCCAAUCAAACCGGGAGAUAGCUGGUUCUCCCCGAAAGCUAUUUAGGUAGCGCCUCGUGAAUUCAUCUCCGGGGGUAGAGCACUGUUUCGGCAAGGGGGUCAUCCCGACUUACCAACCCGAUGCAAACUGCGAAUACCGGAGAAUGUUAUCACGGGAGACACACGGCGGGUGCUAACGUCCGUCGUGAAGAGGGAAACAACCCAGACCGCCAGCUAAGGUCCCAAAGUCAUGGUUAAGUGGGAAACGAUGUGGGAAGGCCCAGACAGCCAGGAUGUUGGCUUAGAAGCAGCCAUCAUUUAAAGAAAGCGUAAUAGCUCACUGGUCGAGUCGGCCUGCGCGGAAGAUGUAACGGGGCUAAACCAUGCACCGAAGCUGCGGCAGCGACACUAUGUGUUGUUGGGUAGGGGAGCGUUCUGUAAGCCUGUGAAGGUGGCCUGUGAGGGUUGCUGGAGGUAUCAGAAGUGCGAAUGCUGACAUAAGUAACGAUAAAGCGGGUGAAAAGCCCGCUCGCCGGAAGACCAAGGGUUCCUGUCCAACGUUAAUCGGGGCAGGGUGAGUCGACCCCUAAGGCGAGGCCGAAAGGCGUAGUCGAUGGGAAACAGGUUAAUAUUCCUGUACUUGGUGUUACUGCGAAGGGGGGACGGAGAAGGCUAUGUUGGCCGGGCGACGGUUGUCCCGGUUUAAGCGUGUAGGCUGGUUUUCCAGGCAAAUCCGGAAAACCAAGGCUGAGGCGUGAUGACGAGGCACUACGGUGCUGAAGCGACAAAUGCCCUGCUUCCAGGAAAAGCCUCUAAGCAUCAGGUAACAUCAAAUCGUACCCCAAACCGACACAGGUGGUCAGGUAGAGAAUACCAAGGCGCUUGAGAGAACUCGGGUGAAGGAACUAGGCAAAAUGGUGCCGUAACUUCGGGAGAAGGCACGCUGAUAUGUAGGUGAAGCGACUUGCUCGUGGAGCUGAAAUCAGUCGAAGAUACCAGCUGGCUGCAACUGUUUAUUAAAAACACAGCACUGUGCAAACACGAAAGUGGACGUAUACGGUGUGACGCCUGCCCGGUGCCGGAAGGUUAAUUGAUGGGGUUAGCGGUAACGCGAAGCUCUUGAUCGAAGCCCCGGUAAACGGCGGCCGUAACUAUAACGGUCCUAAGGUAGCGAAAUUCCUUGUCGGGUAAGUUCCGACCUGCACGAAUGGCGUAAUGAUGGCCAGGCUGUCUCCACCCGAGACUCAGUGAAAUUGAACUCGCUGUGAAGAUGCAGUGUACCCGCGGCAAGACGGAAAGACCCCGUGAACCUUUACUAUAGCUUGACACUGAACAUUGAGCCUUGAUGUGUAGGAUAGGUGGGAGGCUUUGAAGUGUGGACGCCAGUCUGCAUGGAGCCGACCUUGAAAUACCACCCUUUAAUGUUUGAUGUUCUAACGUUGGCCCGUAAUCCGGGUUGCGGACAGUGUCUGGUGGGUAGUUUGACUGGGGCGGUCUCCUCCUAAAGAGUAACGGAGGAGCACGAAGGUUGGCUAAUCCUGGUCGGACAUCAGGAGGUUAGUGCAAUGGCAUAAGCCAGCUUGACUGCGAGCGUGACGGCGCGAGCAGGUGCGAAAGCAGGUCAUAGUGAUCCGGUGGUUCUGAAUGGAAGGGCCAUCGCUCAACGGAUAAAAGGUACUCCGGGGAUAACAGGCUGAUACCGCCCAAGAGUUCAUAUCGACGGCGGUGUUUGGCACCUCGAUGUCGGCUCAUCACAUCCUGGGGCUGAAGUAGGUCCCAAGGGUAUGGCUGUUCGCCAUUUAAAGUGGUACGCGAGCUGGGUUUAGAACGUCGUGAGACAGUUCGGUCCCUAUCUGCCGUGGGCGCUGGAGAACUGAGGGGGGCUGCUCCUAGUACGAGAGGACCGGAGUGGACGCAUCACUGGUGUUCGGGUUGUCAUGCCAAUGGCACUGCCCGGUAGCUAAAUGCGGAAGAGAUAAGUGCUGAAAGCAUCUAAGCACGAAACUUGCCCCGAGAUGAGUUCUCCCUGAGACUUAGAGUCUCCUGAAGGAACGUUGAAGACGACGACGUUGAUAGGCCGGGUGUGUAAGCGCAGCGAUGCGUUGAGCUAACCGGUACUAAUGAACCGUGAGGCUUAACCU
This 2901-nucleotide ribosomal RNA is filed under the name Escherichia coli. RNAcentral's name for it is "23S ribosomal RNA". It matches the Rfam family "Bacterial large subunit ribosomal RNA". The record is from RNAcentral. Lineage: Bacteria; Pseudomonadati; Pseudomonadota; Gammaproteobacteria; Enterobacterales; Enterobacteriaceae.